AGCGGCCGACCGCAACCACUGCAGUGCCGGCCGCACGCGAGGAUGUCAGACCUUCGCCCUUGACUCCACGGCUAGCGGCAACCCCCUCACCCAAAGCAGCUCCUGAUUUUGAGAGAGAUCUUGAUACUGCUUUCUCCUGUUGAUAUAUGUGUCUCCCAAUGCCCAAAGCGCGCAUUCUUUUUCAUCUGAUUCAUGCCAUUCCAUCAUACAAUUGUACAGCUAUUUCAUGAUUGCAUCUCGGUAGGUUAAAGAUACCCUGUUGCACUUGCUUCACUAAUCACUAUUGGAAAUCUGAGAAGCGUCAACAACUUGACCAUUUGCCGGACAAAUACGUGAGCAAAUAAAAGAAAACAGAAACUGGUAUGGAGCGGUUGUCACCAGAUGGCCUCGCUAUCUAUCUGAUGAGCUUGGAAUUGGAGAAUGCUAUUGCUGAUGGGAUGUCGAAAGAAGUUAUGAUGGCAUUGGAAAAGUAGUAUAUGGAGACUAUAAUGCCUUUGAGAGACAACAUAUCAAAAAUUCUUGAGCAACAUGUUCAAGGACUAAAAAGAAGACAGUCGAUAGCUCUGUAUGCUAUGCCAAAUCAGUUAUAGAUGGUAAUGAUGCGUAUGGAGACCCGAGGGUGAUCAAGGCGCAGAUUACGAUGGGACAUUUGGAACUCCAAGGCGAUGCAUAUCAGCUGAAGAACAAGCAUAUUUUACAGCAGGUGCUGUAUGUCCUGAUUAAGCCUUUUUUUGGUUGGCAUUGAACAAUUGCAGAACUGUAUGAGGCGAUACCUGGAGGAAACUCUUGCGGGCAAUGGGACACAAAGACUAGAAUCUUCUAGGUUUACUUAAUUGCUAGAACAAAAUCGCCAUCUGACGCCUUCACCACCAUCGGAGCCAUGACUUGAAUCUGUAGCCUCUUUACUGCCUCAUUGGGAUUGUGGGUCAAUCAAGCUCUUUGUCGUAUGCAUAUAUAAAUAUGAAAGGUUGCACAACUUUGAGCAUUGUUACACUACUACUGCUGAAAGCGAAAAUUUUCUUUUGCACAUGAACAAUAACAUAGGCAGUUUACCUCCAUGUCAAUGUUCGCCUUGCAUGCGUUUUGCGAUUUUGGACACAUCGUUCUCUUGCAGUGGGAGUCGGCUGUAUUUGGCGCUUACACAUUUCAGCUAUGUUCAUGUUGAUUUCUUUCAGAACUCCAGUUAUGCUCUUUGCCCGUCUGAAAUUGUUUUUUGAAAUGUAAUCGCCUUCAUGCAGGAUGUGGAAAAUAGCAAUGCCAUUUGUGACCGGAGGAAAACAGUCGAAUCAAUAGUGAUACAUGUGCUACCAACUACUGUGUAUCUGUUAAUUCUUCCUGGACGUAGGGCAUGUAAGCAAGCAGGGUGAAAGACAACGGUUGCAAGCAAUGCCUACUUCUUUAUGCUAGGUUCAGAUGUUGCACUCUGUGUGGCUUGGUCGGUGGUACACAUUAAGUUGCAGGCCUCUGACAGUCUUUUC
This is a long non-coding RNA of Lolium rigidum, 1478 nucleotides long. RefSeq lists it as uncharacterized. The transcript has 5 exons. The record is from RefSeq and is a predicted model, not a curated record. Lineage: Eukaryota; Viridiplantae; Streptophyta; Magnoliopsida; Poales; Poaceae.